UAGGGAAUCUUCCACAAUGGGCGAAAGUCUGAUGGAGCAACGCCGCGUGAGUGAAGAAGGGUUUCGGCUCGUAAAACUCUGUUGUUAAAGAAGAACAUAUCUGAGAGUAACUGUUCAGGUAUUGACGGUAUUUAACCAGAAAGCCACGGCUAACUACGUGCAG
RNAcentral lists this ribosomal RNA (163 nucleotides) under uncultured bacterium. RNAcentral describes it as "partial 16S ribosomal RNA". It matches the Rfam family "Bacterial small subunit ribosomal RNA", at positions 355 to 510 of the family's 1533-position model. The record is from RNAcentral.